Molecule: ribosomal RNA, 380 nt
Filed under: uncultured eukaryote
Lineage: Eukaryota
Description: partial 18S ribosomal RNA
Rfam family: Eukaryotic small subunit ribosomal RNA
Source: RNAcentral
CAAUAGCGUAUAUUAAAGUUGUUGCAGUUAAAAAGCUCGUAGUUGGAUUUGUGGUUGUCACGGGCGGCCUAUCACUUAGUGUUAGUGCUUGCCUGUGUCGCCAUCCUUGGGUGGAGCCCGUGUGGCAUUAGGUUGUCGUGCGGGGGAUGCCCAUCGUUUACUGUGAGAAAAUUAGAGUGUUCAAAGCAGGCUUAUGCCAUUGAAUAUGUUAGCAUGGAAUAAUAAGAUAGGACCUCGGUACUAUUUUGUUGGUUUGCGCACCGAGGUAAUGAUUAAUAGGGACAGUUGGGGGUAUUCGUAUUUCAUUGUCAGAGGUGAAAUUCUUGGAUUUCUGAAAGACGAACUACUGCGAAAGCAUUUACCAAGGAUGUUUUCAUUAA